AUUGAACGCUGGCGGCAUGCUUUACACAUGCAAGUCGAACGGCAGAGCGGGCUUCGGCCUGGAGGCGAGCGGCGAACGGGUGAGUAAUACAUCGGAAAGUGCCCAGUAGUGGGGGAUAGCUCGGCGAAAGCCGGAUUAAUACCGCAUACGACCUGAGGGGGAAAGCGGGGGAUCUUCGGACCUCGCGCUGUCGGAUCGGCCGAUGGCAGAUUAGCUAGUUGGUGGGGUAAAGGCCUACCAAGGCGACGAUCCGUAGCUGGUCUGAGAGGACGACCAGCCACACUGGGACUGAGACACGGCCCAGACUCCUACGGGAGGCAGCAGUGGGGAAUUUUGGACAAUGGGCGAAAGCCUGAUCCAGCAAUGCCGCGUGUGUGAUGAAGGCCUUCGGGUUGUAAAGCACUUUUGGCGGGAACGAAAAGGACUGUGCUAAUACCACGGUUCGAUGACGGUACCCGCAGAAUAAGCACCGGCUAACUACGUG
RNAcentral lists this ribosomal RNA (484 nucleotides) under uncultured bacterium. RNAcentral's name for it is "partial 16S ribosomal RNA". It matches the Rfam family "Bacterial small subunit ribosomal RNA", at positions 29 to 507 of the family's 1533-position model. The record is from RNAcentral.